This 1053-nucleotide long non-coding RNA is filed under the name Takifugu rubripes (torafugu). RNAcentral's name for it is "lncRNA (ENSTRUG00000027417.1)". The record is from RNAcentral. Lineage: Eukaryota; Metazoa; Chordata; Actinopteri; Tetraodontiformes; Tetraodontidae.
AUUCACCUUGGGUUUUAUAAAGGAAAUGAAGCGUCAUGCCGAUGUCCAAGCAGCACGUUGUUAGAGGCUCCGGUCAGAAGGGCUGUGGGAGCUCAGCUCUCCGGACCCUCUUCGGUUCUCGGACCCUUUCUGGACCCUCUUUGGACCCUCUUUGGACCUCACAUCCUCUCCAGACCUCAUCAGACCCUCUCCGGUCCUGACAUCCUCUCCAGACCUCAUCAGACCCUCUCCAGUCCUCACAUCCUCUCCAGACCUCAUCAGACCCUCUCCAGUCCUCGCAUCCUCUCCAGACUCUCUCCAGACCCUCUCCGGACCCUCUCCAGACCUCAUCAGACCCUCUCUAGUCCUCACAUCCUCUCCAGACCCUCUCCAGACCCUCUUUGGACCUCACAUCCUCUCCAGACCCUCUCUGGUCCUCACAUCCUCUCCAGACCCUCUCUGGUCCUCACAUCCUCUCCAGACCCUCUCUGGUCCUCACAUCCUCUCCAGACCCUCUCCGGUCCUCACAUCCUCUCCAGACCUCAUCAGACCCUCUCCAGUCCUCGCAGCCUCUCCAGACCCUCUCCGGUCCUCACAUCCUCUCCAGACCCUCUCCAGACCCUCUCUGGACCCUCUUUGGACCCCACAUCCUCUCCAGACCUCAUCAGACCCUCUCCAGUCCUCGCGUCCUCUCCAAACCCUCUCUGGUCCUCACAUCCUCUCCAGACCCUCUCCAGACCCUCUCCGGUCCUCACAUCCUCUCCAGACCUCUGGUCCUCACAUCCUCUCCAGACCCUCUCUGGUCCUCACAUCCUCUCCAGACCCUCUCUGGUCCUCACAUCCUCUCCAGACCCUCUCCAGACCCUCUCUGGUCCUCACAUCCUCUCCAGACCCUCUCCAGACCCUCUCUGGUCCUCACAUCCUCUCCAGACCCUCUCCAGACCCUCUCUGGUCCUCACAUCCUCUCCAGACCCUCUCCAGACCCUCUCUGGUCCUCACAUCCUCUCCGGACCCUCUCUGGUCCUCACAUCCUCUCCAGACCCUCUCCGGUCCUCGCAUCCUCUCUUAAAAUGA